Molecule: ribosomal RNA, 1002 nt
Filed under: uncultured bacterium
Lineage: Bacteria
Description: bacterial SSU rRNA
Rfam family: Bacterial small subunit ribosomal RNA
Source: RNAcentral
AGAGUUUGAUCCUGGCUCAGAAUCAACGCUGGCGGCGCGCCUAACACAUGCAAGUCGAACGAGAAAGUGGAGCAAUCCAUGAGUACAGUGGCGUACGGGUGAGUAACACGUGGGUAAUCUACCUCUUUGUGUGGAAUAACUCUGGGAAACCGGAGCUAAUACCGCAUAAGCUCGAGAGAGGAAAGUCGCAAGACGCUGAGAGAGGAGCCCGCGGCCGAUUAGCUAGUUGGCAGGGUAACAGCCUACCAAGGCGAAGAUCGGUAGCCGGCCUGAGAGGGCACACGGCCACACUGGCACUGAAACACGGGCCAGACUCCUACGGGAGGCAGCAGUGGGGAAUCUUGCACAAUGGGGGAAACCCUGAUGCAGCGACGCCGCGUGAGCGAUGAAGCCCUUCGGGGUGUAAAGCUCUUUCGGCAGGGAAGAUUAUGACGGUACCUGCAGAAGCAGCUGCGGCUAACUACGUGCCAGCAGCCGCGGUAAUACGUAGGCAGCGAGCGUUGUUCGGAGUUACUGGGCGUAAAGGGUGUGUAGGCGGUUGUUUAAGUUUGGUGUGAAAUCUCCCGGCUCAACUGGGAGGGUGCGCCGAAUACUGAGCGACUAGAGUGCGGGAGAGGAAAGUGGAAUUCCUGGUGUAGCGGUGAAAUGCGUAGAUAUCAGGAGGAACACCGGUGGUGUAGACGGCUUUCUGGACCGUAACUGACGCUGAGACACGAAAGCGUGGGUAGCAAACAGGAUUAGAUACCCUGGUAGUCCACGCCCUAAACGAUGCAUAUUUGGUGUGGGCAGUUCAUUCUGUCCGUGCCGGAGCUAACGCGUUAAAUAUGCCGCCUGGGGAGUACAGUCGCAAGGCUGAAACUCAAAGGAAUUGACGGGGGCCCGCACAAGCGGUGGAGCAUGUGGUUCAUUCGACGCACGCGAGACCUUACCUGGGCUCGAACGGCUGGUCAACGGAGUGGAAACGCCUUUACCCCGCAAGGGGUCCAGUCGAGGUGCUGCAUG